Molecule: long non-coding RNA, 3121 nt
Filed under: Phaseolus vulgaris (common bean)
Lineage: Eukaryota; Viridiplantae; Streptophyta; Magnoliopsida; Fabales; Fabaceae
Description: long non-coding RNA (PVUL_LNC004399)
Source: RNAcentral
GCCUCCUCUCAUGGUGAAGAUCAUGCACAUAACAUUUUCUUCUCUUCACACUUCAUACACUGUUCUUCCUUAAUCUUUUACUUCUUUUUUCCUCAGCUUUUGCUUUCACUCAUAUUUUUUUUUUCCACAGCUUUUGCUUUCACUCACUUCUAGAAAAUAGUUUUUUUCUUUUUUGUUUAUCUUUUACAGAAACUUGCCUUAUAUCUUGAUUAUGAGUCAAUACUCAUCAUCUGAAUCUUACCCUUGUCAUGCCAAAAAGACACACUCCAAUUCUGUAAAUUAUUUUCCCAUGAACAAACCAUUUUAUGGCUUUUUUAAAUUCAUCAAAUUAUUAUUUGUUCCAUUUUUUUAUUCUACAAUUUCUAAUCCUUUGUUUUAAACUUGUACAGUUCAUGAUUGCAUUCAAUUUUUUUGUGGGUUGUUCAUUCAAGAAAAUUUAAAACGAGAUCCCUUUUGGAUGAAAGGAGGAAGUUAUAUCAUUUCAACCAAAAUUGUUUUGGGUAAAACCAUUUUUUUUGUCACUUUGUCAAGAUCUGGUCAUUGUGAAUGUUUUUCAAAUCCACCCAUAAUUUAAUCAAAGAACUUUCUUUCAUCACACAUUUUUUACUGAUUUUCUUGGUUUAUAGUAUGAUAUGGUGUAUUAAAAUCAUAUCAUAUCAAAUCGUUUCUUUCAUAAACUAUCAAGAGUUCUUAUGGUUUUAAAUCUAAUUAGUUGAUUGUGUAAUUUUCUCUUUAUUCAAUAUUUUUAUUUUCUUACAAACCAAAUCCCUACUUUUUGGUGUAUCCCUAAUUUUUUAUGAUUUAAUUAUCAAUUAAAAAUUAUAAAAAUAUAUGUAUUAACUAUAAAUAAGUAUAGAUUUUUAAUUUGCCCAAACUUUUUGCAUGUCAUCUAGUACACUAACACUGGAUGAAUUUGAUUUGAUAAGAAGGUAUUUGACUGAGUUUUACAAGCAAGUGAAAUUUUUUAAUAUUAUUUUUAAAUUUUUUAAUAUAUAUGCAUAAAGGGUAUUCUCAUAUGCUUUAGUAUGCACAUGAUUAAACAGGUUGAGAUCGUGAUGAGAUUUGAAUAUAAAUUUGCCAUUAUUUCAGUGAAGGUAGAGUUGAGAACAUGCUUAAUUGUUCAAGAAGUUGCUGUUCUAAUUCAGAAGGUACAUAUGGUAACAUUUUCUUUUUCUUGUCUUUCAAAUUUUAUAAGGAAUUGUCACAAGAGUAUAUAAAUCAACAAUAUUUUGUAGAAAUGGUUUAAUUUUACUACAUCAUAUUAAUAAAGUUAUAAUACUAGUAGUGUCUCAUUCUUUUUUCUUAUAAAUAUUUAAAAUGCUUUGGUAAUGUAUUUCAAUAAUGAGUUUUAAUUACUUUUGUUCACAUAAAUUGUAAAUUAAGUUGUUUAAUUGAUCUUAAACAUAACCAAAAUUCCUUUCAAGGAAGAGAGAGAUGAAAAGUACAUAGGGCUUGCCAUAUUUUUGGGGUCACUUGGAUAUUCAUAGCCAUCUUCUUCUAAGAUCUAUAAGUAACAUGUUUGUGUUGUGGGAAAAUGAAUGGAGUAAUCCAAGUUGAGAUCUUCAAAGACUUAACUUGUGGUUCAAACACAUUGUACUCUAGCAUCAAUAAUUCAAAUCAUAAUUGAGCAAAAUGAGAUGAAGCAUUGUUGAUUAUAGAAAUGGGUUAAAACAUUUUCAAGAUUAUAUGACAAAAGGGCAUUUGGAAUGAAGAAAAAGACUUUUGCUUCAAUGGUUUUCAGAGUUACUUAAGCUUUAUGAAUUUUUUUGACCAUGUCAUACUUCUCAAACAAUAACAUUGAUUAAGAAAUCCAAAAUUAUCUAGAUUAGUAAAUAUGUAUAACUUGUAAUCACUCCUUAUGAAAAAAAUGUUUGAGAAGAUGGUAUGUACCCAAAAUUCAUACAACUUUAAGAACUCUUAAGUGAUGUCAUUUUCUUUACUCUAUAAACCCUUUAUAUAAUGGAAUGAUAUAUGUGUUUAACCCAUUUAUUGAACCCAACAAUGUUCUCUUUUGCUCCAUUAUAAUUGGGAAAAAUGCUUUUAAAGGAUGAAGUGUUUGAAUUGACCAUUGCAAUAUCCCACAAAUUCUUCAAAAUGUUAUACUUUGUUCUUGAAAAAGCUUGGCUCUGAAUAUCCACCUGAUCCCAUAAGUGUAGUGAGUCUAUGUAGCACAUCUCUUUCUUCUUUGUUAAAUGGAUUUUUGUUUAGUUUAAUAUCAAGAUGAUUCAACCGACUUAAUCUACAAAUAUGUCCAACAAAAGAAUAAUUAAAAUUAGUAAUUUAAAUACAUUACAAAACUUUUUUAUAUGUAAGUGGAAAUGGAAAAAUGAGACACUAUUAUUAUACAUCUAUUAAUAUACUCCUUUUGUAGUAUAAAAUUGUUGUAUUAGGUUUACAAUACUAUGAACAUUUACAUAAUGUGUUUGUAGUAGGAAAUAUUAAUAAUAGUACAUUAUAUAUAUUUUUUAGUCUAAUUUGAACUACAAUGCUUAUUUAUUUUUUAGAUGAUUAAUUUUUAUGAGAGUAUUUUAUAGUUUGCUCUAUAUAUAUAUGUAAAAGAAAAAAAAUCGAAUUAAAUUUCAAAUGAAUAAUCAUAAUUAUAAAAAAAAAAUUUAAACAUAUUGAUUUUUAAAAUUCACUUUUCAUAUAUCUUGGAUUAUUUUGAAUGGACAUACAAUGAGACAAAGGAUUGAUGUUAAUGGAGGAAUUUGGACAAAAGGAAACACAUGGGUAAAGAAGUCAUAAUGGUGUUCUAUGGAUCUGUCCAACUUUAUCAUUCAACUGUUUAAGCUUCAACCACUACAGCUUCAACCACUACAGUAGCUGGUGUGCUGCGUGAACCAAAUGUGCAUAAACCUCAACUUGUGUGGUUGUUGUCCUACGAGCCGAUGUGUGUUUAGGGUUUGGAUACUUUAUUGGUUGAUGAGACACAAUAAAGUUUUAUACUUGUAAAUUGGGUGGGAUUAGAUAUACUUUUUAAACAUGUGUUUUGUAUGUUUUCUGUCAAUUUACUUAGGUUUAAACUUUGAUUUUAUGUAUAAGGGUUGGGGUAUCCCUGAAAUACCUCUAUUAAUUUAUUUUAUUCUUUGUUGAUAAAAAAUAUAUAAAAUUAAUGAUGAUA